AUAAAUAAAUAAAAAACAUCACAUUAUUAUAUGUUUAUGUUUAAAGUGAUAUAGGUUAACUAAAGAGGGUGAUUUUGAAGUAUAUAAACAUGAGGUGUUACACCUAAUUAUAAAGAUGCACAUGUGGUUGAACCAUUUAUUGGAAGUUUUUUGAAAGAGAAAAUUGAAAAAUAUAAUAGUAAGUUACCUAAUGUUGUCUCCUUAGACAUGGAAUUUAACACUGAGCAGUUGCCCCAUGUUACG
RNAcentral lists this long non-coding RNA (243 nucleotides) under Phaseolus vulgaris (common bean). RNAcentral describes it as "long non-coding RNA (PVUL_LNC004083)". Lineage: Eukaryota; Viridiplantae; Streptophyta; Magnoliopsida; Fabales; Fabaceae. The record is from RNAcentral.